This 216-nucleotide long non-coding RNA is filed under the name Solanum tuberosum (potato). RNAcentral's name for it is "long non-coding RNA (STUB_LNC007496)". The record is from RNAcentral. Lineage: Eukaryota; Viridiplantae; Streptophyta; Magnoliopsida; Solanales; Solanaceae.
CUCAAGUGGGCGACGUUCAUUUUAGACACCUCAUGUAGGGUCUCGCUGUGUCAUUUUGACACUUUUUGCUGACUAAGCACAGUACGUGUGCUACACGAAUUUUGAGCGCGUCAGAGACUUUUUUCGUAAAUAUUUUGAAUUUUUUUGUAAAUAUUUUCUUCUCCUUCUUCUUCAUUGCUUUCUCCCUUCCAUCUUCCCCACCUUCUACCAUCCUCC